GGUAUUGGAGAUGGUACUGUGAGUUAUGGAAUGGAUGAUGGAGAUGACAUUUACAUGCGUUCAUGGACAGGCACCAUUAUUGGGCCGCAUAAUGAACAUUUUGCAAAACGAAAUAAGAUGGUUCUUACUCUUAAAUAUAUAGAGUGCUGCGAAGGGAAAUAACAAGAUUUGGACCUGAUCAAUUUUUCUGACAGAUCCUACAUACAUGAUCCGGGCUAUUCGAAGCAAUGUAGCUGACAAUGUGUAUUGUACACUCAUUGCUCAGAGUGCUGUUCAUGGAGCUAUGGCCGGGUACACAGGCUACACAAGUGGGCUUGUUAAUGGCAGACAAACUUAUAUUCCUUUCUAUUUGGUAUUAUAUAUUAUCUAUGAAGUGGAGCAUUCUGUAAGGAGGAUCUUGAUGCAACUGAAUAAAAGAAUAACUGGUAUUUAUUGUUGCACAAGCUACUCACAGAAAUGGGAAAACUUGAUGCCCUGAUUAUAUAAAGCAGAUACCUUCAUUUCUACUUUGAUUCAUUUGGUAUUAUUUCUUCUAAGUCAAUUAUAAACCUUGUUUUGAUGAUUUCUAAAUGAUCAAUACAAGAUCGAUAAUUAACAUUUGACUAUCCCCCUUUUUACUAAUAUUUAAUCCCAAUAUUCAUGCAUUACUUGUUAUAUUUUAUCCAUUGCUAUAUAGUUAGAUUUCUUUGGUAGAAGUGAUGGGUCAUGCUAAUUAAAGUUCUACGAGUUUCUUUUUGCUCAUAGUUGUCCAAUACUAUCAACUAUAAAAUUGCUGGCAACAUUAAUUUGCUAUAUUCAUGUAAAAUUAAAAUUGCUGGAAUCAUUUUUUAAUUAGAAUUGGCUUGUUUGUUUAUGAUGGAGUUUGUGCAUAAAUGUGUGGUGCCAAAUUUAUUUAUUUUGGAAUAUUUGUUUUAAUAUAUGUAUCUUGUGAAAUUUGGAAAUAUCUUAUUUCAAAAUGAAAACUAGUUAAUAUUGAAGUUCACUACAUUUGUGAUCUUGAAAGGGCAAGUUUUUGAUACGUAUUUAUCUUUUUUGAAGAUGCAAACUACAUGUACUGAUUUUUGACUUCAGAUUGUGACAUUUAUCUCCAUGUUAAACUUUCAGAUGAGUCCAUUCAAUAGCUCGCCUUGUGCUGUUCUUGAUCGAUCAAGAUACUUGAAGAAAAUGUGUCAUAAUUGUGUUGAUUAGGAAGUUUUUCCCAUUGCAUCAAUAGUUGUUAUAACCUUUUAUGCAUUUAUUCUUGUUACAUUUAUUCAUUUAUUCUGAUUAGAUUAAGGUAAUGAUAUGAUUAGAUUAGAAGGCCUUAACUAGAUUAAGGUAAAAAGCAGAUAUGAUUAGAUUAAGGUAAAGAGAUACGAUUAGAUAUUAAUCUAGUCAAGGUCUUCAGCAGAUAUGAAGACCUUGACUAGGUCAAGAUCUAGAUUAGAUUAAGGUAAAGAUAAAAAAGGUAAAGAGAUAUGAUUAGAUGUUUUUUGUUAUAAUUGAAAAAACAAAAAAGGGUAAGCUGGAAAAGGUUUAUGAAGUAAUGUUCUUUGUAGUUCAAAACCAGAAGUAACGGAUUGAAUAAAUUUUGCACCUUAGAGGAAGUCUGCGAUCUGAUCAAAACCAGAAUUGCUUUGUGGAUUAAAUAUAAUUCUAGGUUGUUGCAUUAUUCAGUCCAUGAUAUGGUUGAGAAUCUGGAUCAGGUUCAUAGGUGUGUGGGGGGUAGGUGGUUGUGUCCUUGCUUGCUGGGUGGAAUUUCAUUAUGGACAGGGAUUGAAUUGGGUUAAUUUAGUAGUCAUUUUGUUUGAUAGUUAAGCUACCUUAAUUUAUGUUUCAAUUUUUUAUUUUCUGAAUUGGUGAUGAUCUGAGUUGCUGCUGUGAAGUUUUUGUUGUUGCUUGUGAUAUUGCUGCUGUAGCUAUGGUUUCUGUGCUGAUGUGUAGUUCAGUAGUAGAAUUGGGUUUUUGAUAUUUAUGCUGCUGCUGGAUCUGUUGAUAGUGAUUGUGUCCUUGCUUGCUGGGUGGAACUUCAUUAUGGCCAGGGUUUGAAUUGGUUUAACUUAGAAGUCAAUUUGUUAGAUAGUUAAGCAACCUUAACUAUCUAAAUUGGUGAUGAUCUGAGUUGCUGUUGUGAAGUUGUGGUUUCUGUUCUGAUGUGUAGUUCAGGAGUAGAAUUGGGCUUUUAAGUCCUCUGGGCUGUGCUGCUAUCCUGUGGAACACUAAAUGAUUUGGUGACUGCCAGUCAGUACUACUGUGAAGACUAGAGGAGAUUCAUGGAGGCUGAAGGUGAUGAUGAUGAUGCCGAGGCUGAUGAUGAUGAAACUGACAAAGAUGCUGAUAUUACAGAAGAGAGUGCACAUGAUGAGUUGUAG
Camellia sinensis is the source of this 2351-nucleotide non-coding RNA. The record is from RefSeq and is a predicted model, not a curated record. NCBI's taxonomy places the organism in Eukaryota, Viridiplantae, Streptophyta, Magnoliopsida, Ericales, Theaceae.